RNAcentral lists this ribosomal RNA (492 nucleotides) under uncultured bacterium. RNAcentral describes it as "partial 16S ribosomal RNA". It matches the Rfam family "Bacterial small subunit ribosomal RNA", at positions 29 to 507 of the family's 1533-position model. The record is from RNAcentral.
AGUGAACGCUGGCGGUAGGCCUAACACAUGCAAGUCGAACGGAAGCACAGUAAGAGCUUGCUCUUACGGGUGGCGAGUGGCGGACGGGUGAGGAAUACAUCGGAAUCUACUUUUUCGUGGGGGAUAACGUAGGGAAACUUACGCUAAUACCGCAUACGACCUACGGGUGAAAGCAGGGGAUCUUCGGACCUUGCGCGUUUGAAUGAGCCGAUGUCGGAUUAGCUAGUUGGCGGGGUAAAGGCCCACCAAGGCGACGAUCCGUAGCUGGUCUGAGAGGAUGAUCAGCCACACUGGAACUGAGACACGGUCCAGACUCCUACGGGAGGCAGCAGUGGGGAAUAUUGGACAAUGGGCGCAAGCCUGAUCCAGCCAUACCGCGUGGGUGAAGAAGGCCUUCGGGUUGUAAAGCCCUUUUGUUGGGAAAGAAAAGCAGCAGGUUAAUACCCCGCUGUUCUGACGGUACCCAAAGAAUAAGCACCGGCUAACUUCGUG